RNAcentral lists this ribosomal RNA (253 nucleotides) under uncultured bacterium. RNAcentral's name for it is "partial 16S ribosomal RNA". It matches the Rfam family "Bacterial small subunit ribosomal RNA", at positions 524 to 776 of the family's 1533-position model. The record is from RNAcentral.
UACAGAGGGUGCAAGCGUUAAUCGGAAUUACUGGGCGUAAAGCGCACGUAGGCGGUUAGUUAAGUUGGAUGUGAAAGCCCCGGGCUCAACCUGGGAAUUGCAUUCAAAACUGGCCAACUAGAGUACGUGAGAGGGGGGUAGAAUUCCAAGUGUAGCGGUGAAAUGCGUAGAGAUUUGGAGGAAUACCAGUGGCGAAGGCGGCCCCCUGGCACGAUACUGACGCUCAGGUGCGAAAGCGUGGGGAGCAAACAGG